ACGUGGAGGCUGGACAGCUGCAGCCAGCGGCACCUGGCGCUGUGGGGAAGAGGCUGCCCUGAAAUGCUCAGAAACAUGUCAGCAGGCUGAUUGGAGGCUGACACCUGCGGUCUUAGGACCAGGAGACCCAGCACUGCAGGGCACCCACGUGCUAGUAUGUACCUUGGAUCAAGCCAUACCUGAAUGCCA
This is a long non-coding RNA of Phyllostomus discolor (pale spear-nosed bat), 189 nucleotides long. RefSeq lists it as uncharacterized. NCBI's taxonomy places the organism in Eukaryota, Metazoa, Chordata, Mammalia, Chiroptera, Phyllostomidae. The transcript is spliced from 2 exons. The record is from RefSeq and is a predicted model, not a curated record.